CAGUGAAAUUGAACUCGCUGUGAAGAUGCAGUGUACCCGCGGCAAGACGGAAAGACCCCGUGAACCUUUACUAUAGCUUGACACUGAACAUUGAGCCUUGAUGUGUAGGAUAGGUGGGAGGCUUUGAAGUGUGGACGCCAGUCUGCAUGGAGCCGACCUUGAAAUACCACCCUUUAAUGUUUGAUGUUCUAACGUGGGCCCCUUACCGGGGUUGCGGACAGUGUCUGGUGGGUAGUUUGACUGGGGCGGUCUCCUCCUAAAGAGUAACGGAGGAGCACGAAGGUUGGCUAAUCCUGGUCGGACAUCAGGAGGUUAGUGCAAUGGCAUAAGCCAGCUUGACUGCGAGCGUGACGGCGCGAGCAGGUGCGAAAGCAGGUCAUAGUGAUCCGGUGGUUCUGAAUGGAAGGGCCAUCGCUCAACGGAUAAAAGGUACUCCGGGGAUAACAGGCUGAUACCGCCCAAGAGUUCAUAUCGACGGCGGUGUUUGGCACCUCGAUGUCGGCUCAUCACAUCCUGGGGCUGAAGUAGGUCCCAAGGGUAUGGCUGUUCGCCAUUUAAAGUGGUACGCGAGCUGGGUUUAGAACGUCGUGAGACAGUUCGGUCCCUAUCUGCCGUGGGCGCUGGAGAACUGAGGGGGGCUGCUCCUAGUACGAGAGGACCGGAGUGGACGCAUCACUGGUGUUCGGGUUGUCAUGCCAAUGGCACUGCCCGGUAGCUAAAUGCGGAAGAGAUAAGUGCUGAAAGCAUCUAAGCACGAAACUUGCCCCGAGAUGAGUUCUCCCUGACUCCUUGAGAGUCCUGAAGGAACGUUGAAGACGACGACGUUGAUAGGCCGGGUGUGUAAGCGCAGCGAUGCGUUGAGCUAACCGGUACUAAUGAACCGUGAGGCUUAACCUU
This 897-nucleotide ribosomal RNA is filed under the name Escherichia coli. RNAcentral describes it as "partial 23S ribosomal RNA". It matches the Rfam family "Bacterial large subunit ribosomal RNA", at positions 2034 to 2925 of the family's 2925-position model. The record is from RNAcentral. RNAcentral also lists the same sequence under 1 other name. Lineage: Bacteria; Pseudomonadati; Pseudomonadota; Gammaproteobacteria; Enterobacterales; Enterobacteriaceae.